RNAcentral lists this ribosomal RNA (254 nucleotides) under uncultured bacterium. Its description in RNAcentral is "partial 16S ribosomal RNA". It matches the Rfam family "Bacterial small subunit ribosomal RNA", at positions 524 to 776 of the family's 1533-position model. The record is from RNAcentral.
UACGUAGGGGGCGAGCGUUGUUCGAAGUUACUGGGCGUAAAGCGCGCGUAGGCGGUCUCUUAAGUCCGGGGUGAAAGGUUCAGCGCUCAACGCGAACAGUGCCCUGGAGACUGGGGGACUUGAGUGUGGGAGGGGGCAGUGGAAUUCCUGGUGUAGCGGUGAAAUGCGCAGAUAUCAGGAGGAACACCAAUUGCGAAGGCAGCUCGCUGGGACGUUACUGACGCUGAGACGCGAAAGCGUGGGGAGCAAACAGG